This 1407-nucleotide ribosomal RNA is filed under the name Eubacterium ruminantium. RNAcentral's name for it is "bacterial LSU rRNA". It matches the Rfam family "Bacterial large subunit ribosomal RNA", at positions 1506 to 2925 of the family's 2925-position model. Lineage: Bacteria; Bacillati; Bacillota; Clostridia; Eubacteriales; Eubacteriaceae. The record is from RNAcentral.
ACCGGGACAAGCGAGGUAGGAGAUGAAUAGGCAAAUCCGUUCAUCAAUCUGAAGACGUGAUGUGGAGCGAACAUUAGUAGCGAAGCACAUGAGCUGGCUGUCGAGAAAAGCCGCUAUUGUUUAUGCAGUACCCGUACCGUAAACCGACACAGGUGGAUGAGGAGAGGAUCCUAAGGCCGGCGGGAGAAGUGUUGUUAAGGAACUCGGCAAAAUGACCCCGUAACUUCGGGAGAAGGGGUGCCAUCCUCCGGGAUGGCCGCAGAGAAAUGGCCCAAGCAACUGUUUAGCAAAAACAUAGGUCUAUGCGAAACCGAAAGGUGAAGUAUAUGGGCUGACGCCUGCCCGGUGCUGGAAGGUUAAGAGGAGAGGUUAGACGCAAGUCGAAGCUUUGAAUUUAAGCCCCAGUAAACGGCGGCCGUAACUAUAACGGUCCUAAGGUAGCGAAAUUCCUUGUCGGGUAAGUUCCGACCCGCACGAAAGGCGUAAUGAUUUGGGCACUGUCUCAACAACACACCCGGUGAAAUUGAAAUACCAGUGAAGAUGCUGGUUACCUGCGCCAGGACGGAAAGACCCCAUGGAGCUUUACUCUAGCUUGAUACUGGGAUUCGGUACGAUAUGUACAGGAUAGGUGGGAGACUGAGAAGCAGGUCCGUCAGGAUCUGUGGAGCCGCUGUUGGGAUACCACCCUUAUCGUACUGGGUUUCUAACCCGUAGCUGUUAUCCAGCGCGGGGACAAUGUCUGGUGGGGAGUUUGACUGGGGCGGUCGCCUCCGAAAGGGUAUCGGAGGCGCUCAAAGGUUCCCUCAGAAUGGUUGGAAACCAUUCGAAGAGUGCAAAGGCAGAAGGGAGCUUGACUGUGACACCGACGGGUGGAACAGAUACGAAAGUAGGACUUAGUGAUCCGGUGGUAUAAAGUGGGAUUGCCAUCGCUCAACGGAUAAAAGCUACCCUGGGGAUAACAGGCUGAUCACUCCCAAGAGUUCACAUCGACGGAGUGGUUUGGCACCUCGAUGUCGGCUCAUCGCAUCCUGGAGCUGUAGCAGGUUCCAAGGGUUGGGCUGUUCGCCCAUUAAAGCGGUACGCGAGCUGGGUUCAGAACGUCGUGAGACAGUUCGGUCCCUAUCCGGCGCGGGCGGAGGAUAUUUGAGAGGAGCUGUCCUUAGUACGAGAGGACCGGGAUGGACGGACCGCUGGUGUACCAGUUGCAUUACCAAGUGCAGAGCUGGGUAGCCAAGUCCGGAUUGGAUAAACGCUGAAGGCAUCUAAGCGUGAAGCCAACCUCAAGAUAAGAUAUCCCACUCCCUAGAGGAGUUAAGACCCCUUGAAGACUACGAGGUUGAUAGGCACCGAGUGUAAGUGUGGUAACACAUUCAGCUGAGGUGUACUAAUAGGUCGAGGGCUUAUUCA